RNAcentral lists this ribosomal RNA (433 nucleotides) under uncultured bacterium. RNAcentral's name for it is "partial 16S ribosomal RNA". It matches the Rfam family "Bacterial small subunit ribosomal RNA", at positions 29 to 507 of the family's 1533-position model. The record is from RNAcentral.
AACGAACGCUGGCGGCAUGCCUAACACAUGCAAGUCGAACGAGACCUUCGGGUCUAGUGGCGCACGGGUGCGUAACGCGUGGGAACCUGCCCUUAGGUUCGGAAUAACUCCCCGAAAGGGGUGCUAAUACCGGAUAAUGUCUUCGGACCAAAGAUUGAUCGCUUUUGGAGGGGCCCGCGUUGGAUUAGCUAGUUGUUAGGGUAAAAGCCUACCAAGGCGACGAUCAAUAGCUGGUAUGAGAGGAUGAUCAGCCACACUGGGACUGAGACACGGCCCAGACUCCUACGGGAGGCAGCAGUGGGGAAUAUUGGACAAUGGGCGAAAGCCUGAUCCAGCAAUGCCGCGUGAGUGAUGAAGGCCUUAGGGUUGUAAAGCUCUUUUACCCGGGAUGAUAAUGGCAGUACCGGGAGAAUAAGCUCCGGCUAACUCCGUG